UACGUAGGGGGCAAGCGUUAUCCGGAUUUACUGGGUGUAAAGGGUGCGUAGCCGGAAAGGUAAGUCAGAUGUGAAAGCCCGAAGCUCAACUUCGGGAUUGCAUUUGAAACUAUCUUUCUAGAGUGCAGGAGAGGAAAGUGGAAUUCCUAGUGUAGCGGUGAAAUGCGCAGAUAUCAGGAAGAACACCAAUGGCGAAAGCAGCUUUCUGGGACGGUACUGACGCUGAGACGCGAAAGCGUGGGGAGCGAACAGG
Molecule: ribosomal RNA, 253 nt
Filed under: uncultured bacterium
Lineage: Bacteria
Description: partial 16S ribosomal RNA
Rfam family: Bacterial small subunit ribosomal RNA
Source: RNAcentral